Molecule: non-coding RNA, 263 nt
Organism: Malus domestica (apple)
Lineage: Eukaryota; Viridiplantae; Streptophyta; Magnoliopsida; Rosales; Rosaceae
Source: RefSeq, a predicted model, not a curated record
UCGUUUUCAAAUCUUUUGUGCUUUAGGAUUAGGAUUACAAACUCUAUUCAUAUCAUGCAGCUUCAGAUUCGAAAUUGUGAUUUUGGUCAGCAAACCCAGCUCAAGUCCUCUACAAAUCAAACCUCACAAAGGCAAAUUACUAUAUUGCCUAUUUUCCUUUCAAAUCCAACGGGUCGAUGCAGGCUAGAGCUGGUAUAGAUUACAAAUAUUAGUUUUGCAUAGCACUGUAAUUUUGAUUGGUGAGAUCGGCCUAAUUUAAAAAA